This 755-nucleotide ribosomal RNA is filed under the name uncultured bacterium. Its description in RNAcentral is "bacterial SSU rRNA". It matches the Rfam family "Bacterial small subunit ribosomal RNA", at positions 10 to 773 of the family's 1533-position model. The record is from RNAcentral.
AGUUUGAUCCUGGCUCAGAAUCAACGCUGGCGGCGUGCCUCAGACAUGCAAGUCGAACGAUUAAAGCUCUCUUCGGAGAGUGUAUAGAGUGGCGCACGGGUGAGUAACACGUAAGUAAUCUACCUCGGGGUGGGGAAUAACAUCGGGAAACCGAUGCUAAUACCGCAUAAUGCAGCGGCUUCUUAUGAAGACAGUUGUUAAAGCAUUUAUGUGCCUGGAGAGGAGCUUGCGGCAGAUUAGCUAGUUGGUAAGGUAAUGGCUUACCAAGGCAACGAUCUGUAGCCGACCUGAGAGGGUGGUCGGUCACACUGACACUGAAUAACGGGUCAGACUCCUACGGGAGGCAGCAGUCGGGAAUUUUGGGCAAUGGGCGAAAGCCUGACCCAGCAACGCCGCGUGAAGGAUGAAGUUUUUCGGAAUGUAAACUUCGUAAAAAUAGGAAGAAUAAAUGACGGUACUAUUUGUAAGGUCCGGCUAACUACGUGCCAGCAGCCGCGGUAAUACGUAGGGACCAAGCGUUGUUCGGAUUUACUGGGCGUAAAGGGCGCGUAGGCGGCGUAACAAGUCACUUGUGAAAUCUCCGGGCUUAACUCGGAACGGUCAAGUGAUACUGUUAUGCUAGAGUACAGAAGGGGCAAUCCGGAAUUCUUGGUGUAGCGGUGAAAUGCGUAGAUAUCAAAGAGGAACACCAGAGGCGAAGGCGGAUUUGCUGGGCUGAUACUGACGCUGAGGCGCGAAAGCUAGGGGUAGCAAAC